Molecule: long non-coding RNA, 784 nt
Organism: Drosophila santomea
Lineage: Eukaryota; Metazoa; Arthropoda; Insecta; Diptera; Drosophilidae
Exons: 3
Source: RefSeq, a predicted model, not a curated record
CCCGGCUGGCUUAGCUCUAAAAUUCAUCAAAAUUAAAAUGCUAAUAUUUUUCGUUUUUUAUUUGUAUUUUGGCACUGCUUCCUGUAUAUACAUUCUUGAAGCUCGUUCUUGGGACGCCUAAUUUUACGAACCAGCACUCAAAAGGGCCGAAUCCCAUCGAACUUUCGGCCAGCUCUUGACCUCCCAGGUCGCUCUGGGCCAAAACACAUGUGGAUCCAGGGCCCAGACGACAGACAGGCAAGGUCUGUCUCUCGCAGCAUGUGGCCUGCUUUACUGCGCAUAAGGGAUACAAAUUUUUUGGCUACUGCCGAAUUGCUGGCUGAAUGGCUUUGCAGGGAACUAAAAGGACUGCGUGUGGCAUACGUGGAAUUGGAGCGAGAAAGAGUGAGGUGGCGGAACGGAUGUCCUGCCAUAACGCAAAGCAAACCGGAAGCGCCAGCAGACGCUGCUGUUUGUCGUUGAAAGGAGCUCGGCUAAAAGGAUUCCGCCGCAAUUUGUUUGAUGUUUGCUACGUGUUUUCAAAUAUGUUCCGCAGCUUCAGCUACCCCCGUCCUCGUUGACUGGCGACAUUCGGUGCCGGCCAAUUGCAGCAGCAACGAAUGCUGGAAAAUAUUUCACAGAAAAUUCUUCAAACUUUCCCAGGCAGACUUCUUUUUAUGCGACUGCGGAGGAUGCUAUAAGAAAUGAGCAUCCCAUGGCGUCUGAGCAUUUGUUUUUGUGUGCUGAUGCUUGUCUAAUAAUAAACUGCGUUCCGAAAAAGCUUGUAAAUAAGCUUGCAAUAAAA